RNAcentral lists this ribosomal RNA (253 nucleotides) under uncultured bacterium. RNAcentral's name for it is "partial 16S ribosomal RNA". It matches the Rfam family "Bacterial small subunit ribosomal RNA", at positions 524 to 776 of the family's 1533-position model. The record is from RNAcentral.
UACGUAGGGUGCGAGCGUUGUCCGGAAUUACUGGGCGUAAAGCGCACGUAGGCGGAUCUUUAAGUCAGGGGUGAAAUCCUGGAGCUCAACUCCAGAACUGCCUUUGAUACUGAGGACCUUGAGUUCGGGAGAGGUGAGUGGAACUGCGAGUGUAGAGGUGAAAUUCGUAGAUAUUCGCAAGAACACCAGUGGCGAAGGCGGCUCACUGGCCCGAUACUGACGCUGAGGUGCGAAAGCGUGGGGAGCGAACCGG